RNAcentral lists this long non-coding RNA (500 nucleotides) under Drosophila guanche. The record is from RNAcentral. Lineage: Eukaryota; Metazoa; Arthropoda; Insecta; Diptera; Drosophilidae.
GGAGGAUCUAUAAAAUCGUCUAACGAUGCUCCGUUUAUUGGGUUUGCGCCUCACUGGGGCAAUGGUGCAACCAUUUAUCCGGAAUUACGGCAAGCCCGAGCGUUUUAUGUGGUAAUAUAUUGGGCCAGAAGACCAUGGCAAAGAGUACUUCAAUUUGUUGUUUAUAAGGUGCCAAUCGAAACUCGCCAAAGUACCGAAAGCCAUUUUGGCGGACGGCAAGGAAAUGCCUUUGAUAGGACUUGGAACCUGGAUGGUAAGUGUGCAAUUGCUAUUCCCCACACAUGUCAGCUGGGGGGUACAUUUUUAUAGUUGCGCAUAUCUUCCAUGAGAAUUGAAUUUGUAAAUUUUGCUCAAAAAUACUAGUAGUGUUAGGGAAAUCGAAAACUCCAGUUGUUUUUAUUAUGAUUAAGUUACAAUUGUGUGGCUAUCGGGCUCUCAAAAGAAUAAGAGUCACCGUCCAUGAAUGUUUGCUAUACACCGCAGACCAAAGUACGUAUAGC